GGGUCAGUAGGUUGGUCGUGCCACCGGUACGUACUGGUCUCACUGAUUCCUCCUUCCUGAAGAACCGUAAUGCCAUUAAUUUGGUGUUGCGGGGAAACAGGACUGUUACUUUGAAAAAAUUAGAGUGUUUAAAUCAAGCUAAGGCUUGAAUACAUUAGCAUGGAAUAAUGAAAUAGGACGAUCGAUCCUAUUUUCUUGGUUUCUAGGAUUGACGUA
RNAcentral lists this ribosomal RNA (216 nucleotides) under Glomeromycotina sp. RNAcentral describes it as "partial small subunit ribosomal RNA". The stretch from base 40 to 216 matches the Rfam family "Eukaryotic small subunit ribosomal RNA", at positions 686 to 864 of the family's 1831-position model. The record is from RNAcentral. Lineage: Eukaryota; Fungi; Glomeromycota.